CGAAAUCACAUCUAAGAAGGUUCUCUACUCGCAUCUAAGGCUUCACAUCUUCAUAAUUCGCCAAUUACCAGAACUUCCACGGAGAAAACCGUCAGAGGUAAUGCUGUGUUGCUGCCAAGUGAGAGUAUCUUCUUCAAAGAUUAUUGAGUUUAAAGAUUGAACUCUAGAUUCUUUUUUUUUUCUUUUUGGUUCUUUUUAAGUAAGAUUGUCAACAAAGUAAGUAAGGGACAAAACUGAUAAUACUGAAUUUCUCAUUUCUAUAGAAUGGAGAAAAAGACGUUCUGACUUUAUUUGUGUAGAUAACUUACACGAGUCACAACUAAACACAACAUGUCAAAAUGUUGUCAAAGACAUUAAUCUUUUUGUAUCUUACAAGCUAGAUAUAGGCAUAGAACAAUGUAUCAUCCAUCAUGUUUCAAAUUAGCUCGAAGCGCAACCAUUAAACAAUGUCUCAUCAUGUUUCAGAUUUGUUU
This 473-nucleotide long non-coding RNA is filed under the name Brassica rapa (field mustard). RNAcentral's name for it is "long non-coding RNA (BRAP_LNC007221)". Lineage: Eukaryota; Viridiplantae; Streptophyta; Magnoliopsida; Brassicales; Brassicaceae. The record is from RNAcentral.